CCUACGGGUUGCAGCAGUGGGGAAUAUUGCACAAUGGGCGCAAGCCUGAUGCAGCCAUGCCGCGUGUGUGAAGAAGGCCUUCGGGUUGUAAAGCACUUUCAGCGGGGAGGAAGGCGUUAAGGUUAAUAACCACAGCAAUUGACGUUACCCGCAGAAGAAGCACCGGCUAACUACGUGCCAGCAGCCGCGGUAAUACGGAGGGUGCAAGCGUUAAUCGGAAUUACUGGGCGUAAAGCGCACGCAGGCGGUCUGUCAAGUCGGAUGUGAAAUCCCCGGGCUCAACCUGGGAACUGCAUUCGAAACUGGCAGGCUAGAGUCUUGUAGAGGGGGGUAGAAUUCCAGGUGUAGCGGUGAAAUGCGUAGAGAUCUGGAGGAAUAUCGGUGGCGAAGGCGGCCCCCUGGACGAAGACUGACGCUCAGGUGCGAAAGCGUGGGGAGCAAACAGGAUUAGAUACCCGCGUAGUC
Molecule: ribosomal RNA, 465 nt
Filed under: uncultured bacterium
Lineage: Bacteria
Description: bacterial SSU rRNA
Rfam family: Bacterial small subunit ribosomal RNA
Source: RNAcentral